RNAcentral lists this ribosomal RNA (238 nucleotides) under uncultured Anoxybacillus sp. RNAcentral describes it as "partial 16S ribosomal RNA". It matches the Rfam family "Bacterial small subunit ribosomal RNA", at positions 1150 to 1382 of the family's 1533-position model. The record is from RNAcentral. Lineage: Bacteria; Bacillati; Bacillota; Bacilli; Caryophanales; Anoxybacillaceae.
UGCCGGGCUAAAAAGGUCCGGAGGAAGGUGGGGAUGACGUCAAAUCAUCAUGCCCCUUAUGACCUGGGCUACACACGUGCUACAAUGGGCGGUACAAAGGGUCGCGAACCCGCAGGGGGGAGCCAAAUCCCAAAAAGCCGCUCUCAGUUCGGAUUGCAGGCUGCAACUCGCCUGCAUGAAGCCGGAAUCGCUAGUAAUCGCGGAUCAGCAUGCCGCGGUGAAUACGUUCCCGGGCCUU